ACAAUGAUACUUCCGUAAUUCGCGGCUCGGUCAUAAAGAAGACGGGCUGGCGGGUCAGCCGCCCCUGA
Regulatory RNA element from Faecalibacterium prausnitzii, 68 nucleotides. It matches the Rfam family "pemK RNA". NCBI's taxonomy places the organism in Bacteria, Bacillati, Bacillota, Clostridia, Eubacteriales, Oscillospiraceae. The record is from Rfam.